UAAUUCAGCGGGGAGAUGCCUGUGGAGCAGGCUGUGGGCAGGGAAGGGAGGUGAGAUGCACCAGCUCAGUCCACCAUCACUGGGAAUCCACUCCAAGCACAGGAAAGCAGCCAGCCAGGCAGAGCUGCUCCCCGGGACUGAGGAAGGGCUCCCAUUCUGUCUUUGUAGAUUCCUGGCACUGGGUCUGGAACGAUUGCGUCCUGUUCGCUGUGCGAUGUUCUCCAUCCUCUGCACAAAAGGCCUGAUGGGUGAAUCCAGGCAUCUUGGCGCUCUGCUGACAUCAUGGAAAAUCUUAGCUGCAUGGCCGCAGAGCACACACUUGCCAAUUAGCAGGGGAGCCCACAGAGGAAAGAGCACAGGUCUGCAGCCCACAGAACGGUGCCAUCCACAUCCAGGGACAAUCUCCCUACCUCAGUUAACCCGCUCUAGAAGCCCCCUCACAGACACGCACUGAGGCUGGUGCCCUAGCCUGGCUCCCUCCUGCUUCCCCUGAAUUCUAGAAAGGACGCUGGGCUGCUGGGCCGCCAGCUGCCUGCUGUUCCUCCUGAUUCAUCGCAGCCCAGGUUCUGGCCUCCUGCACAGAAGCAACCCCAGACUCCAGAACUCCAGACUCCAACCCCAGAAGCACGUCCUGACUCGGCUGGUCAGACGUCCGGUGCUUGAGAUCAAAUCCCAACCCCAUCGCUGUUUUGCUGUGAGAUGCUGGGGAGAAUGGGGUGUGUGGAGGAGACUAGAAGACAGCUGAUUGUGAGCUCUGCAGCUUGGGAGUGUGACUGUGGGAAGGUGACUUCAAGGAUGGGUGUCGCCAACCCCACCCCUUGCCUGCUCUUUUGGUUCUAAAAGGCCAGCCAUCAGAGACCACCUCAGCAGCAGCAGCAGCCCUAGGAAGUGGUGACAGACAGACUCAUGGUGCGUGCUGACAUCUUUGUUGGCCUUUGUCCUGCCAGGGAGCCCCCUGGACUGGAGAGGCCAGGGUUCUGUCUUUGUGAUGGAUAGAGGGGGGAGGGGUUGGUUACAGCAGCUCCUCGGCUUGUUUUCAACUUUCUCCCCUCUGGGACCGAGAGUCUCUUAAAGGCCCAUCCGGAGGGAUGUAGGAGGCCUGAGAAGUGCAGGGGAUGAAGAUCUCCGACUUUUUCUCUCCCUUCCUCCCCCUUACACUCCCCUCCCCCAUCUCUGGGUAGCACCCUGGGGCCCUUUAAAGGUGAAGUGUGCUUAUGCGGUAUCUACAGGAGGUUGCAGCUGGGUUGGCAGCUAAGACAAUCGUGAUUAAUGGCUGCUGUCCCACUGGUACACAAGGACCAUCCUCGGUGGCUUCCCGGAAACCUUCUCAACAGGUUUUGAGUCAGGACGAGGCUGAGGUCUGCAGGGGAGGCCCAGGAGGUUUCUGCCCUAGUCAGGAUGCUCGCCACAAUGUAGCAGUGUAGCAGGCAGAAGGAGCAAUGCGAGAGCCGGUGGUCUGGCAUCAGGGCUGAAGUGGGCUGGAGUUGGUGAGACUCCAAAGCUUGUCUUGAAACACUCAUAGCGCUUUCACAUCUGGCACUGUCUCAGAAUGGCCUGUGUCUUAGCACGCUUAACCUUUCCCGGUGCUUACCGACGGAGUGCAAGAUGUGCCACUGACGUUUGGGGGAUACCCAGUAAGACCCACUGAUACUGCAAUCUUAGCACACGGUGAUGGGGGUGGGGUCCCAGUCAUGGACACCAGGGCUCACAGAGGUUCCCUAGGAGGUUACGGAGAGCAUUCUGGUCUAUCUGUUUCCAGAAGGAGCUCUCCUCAUCUGCGACACCCAGACUCACCCUGAAGGAAGAAACUAACCCUGGUAGGAUGGCGGAUGCUGAGAUGUGGGUUCCAAGAUCAUUUAGCCCAAGCUGAGAAGACUCUGAGCUGGUCUGCCUAGGGCUCUAACUCCAUGUCCUGCGUGCCUAGUGGUCACAGGUGUCCCCUUAACAAUGCUUCUAAAGGGACUCGCUGACUGGUUUCUUUCUAGGGACCCUAGGGGCUUCACUAAUAGAGACUAGAGGUCGCUGUCAGCAGGACUGGCUCUUGGAAGACUUGGUCCCAAGCUGUUUUCCUUAGUUUAGGUGGCUGUUUGACGCCGCCCUGCUUCCGGCCUCUCUCCCCAGGGGCCAGAGCUGCAGCCCUUGUUUUGGACCUUCCUGAUCCUGAGAAAAUGCAUGCAGAACUCUCCACGAAAGAUACCCUGACGCUGCACUGUCGAGCAUUAAUAACUUAGCUAUUUUUGGAUUCACAAUAAGGAUCGAUACCCCUGGGGCCAUUAAAAUGCCACCAUAAGUGUUCACAUCAUUUUUUUUUUUUUUUUUUUGGGUGAGCAGAGCUUUGGAGAAAGAAUGGAAGGAAACUAGAAAACAGACAGACUUCUGAAAGCACGUGGAGACAGCCAGUGCUUCCUUCUCUCUCCGAGAGCAAAAUUGGGGUCAAGUGACACUUCCUGAACGUGGAGUGUGUCCCCUCUCAGGUCACCGUCUGAGGCACUUUCUCAUCUGACACUCACAGCAGCCCUAAACUAGACAGACACUGCGUAUUUACACUUUGGAUUUGAGCCCUC
This 2564-nucleotide small RNA is filed under the name Rattus norvegicus (Norway rat). RNAcentral describes it as "uncharacterized LOC100912319". The record is from RNAcentral. Lineage: Eukaryota; Metazoa; Chordata; Mammalia; Rodentia; Muridae.